AAUAAGUGCAAUUUUGCACUAUUCAUCUUCAACGUUUGACCGUUCAUCUUAUGUGAAAAAUUUUUAUGAUUACUAUUUUUAUUAUUAUUAAAUGAUAAAAUAUGAAUAGUAUUUUAUGUGUGACUAUUCUUUAAAAAAGUUUUUAUAAAUAUUUCAAAUAAGACGGACGGUCAAAUAUUGGACAAAGAUUUACA
RNAcentral lists this microRNA precursor (194 nucleotides) under Oryza nivara. Its description in RNAcentral is "MIR812 microRNA precursor family". It matches the Rfam family "MIR812 microRNA precursor family". The record is from Rfam by way of RNAcentral. Lineage: Eukaryota; Viridiplantae; Streptophyta; Magnoliopsida; Poales; Poaceae.